AGUGCAUGUGGUGGAUGCCUUGGCAGUCAGAGGCGAUGAAAGACGUGAUAGCCUGCGAAAAGCUCCGGGGAGGCGGCAAAUAUCCUUUGAUCCGGAGAUGUCUGAAUGGGGGAACCCACCUACUUUAAGGUAGGUAUUGCAACAUGAAUACAUAGUGUUGCAAGGCGAACGAGGGGAAGUGAAACAUCUCAGUACCCUUAGGAAAAGAAAUCAAUUGAGAUUCCCUCAGUAGCGGCGAGCGAACGGGGAUCAGCCCAUUAAGUUAUGUGUGUUUUAGUGGAACGCUCUGGGAAGUGCGAACGUAGAGGGUGAUAUUCCCGUACACGAAAGGGCACACAUAAUGAUGACGAGUAGGGCGAGGCACGUGAAACCUUGUCUGAAUAUGGGGGGACCAUCCUCCAAGGCUAAAUACUCCUGACUGACCGAUAGUGAACCAGUACCGUGAGGGAAAGGCGAAAAGAACCCCUGUGAGGGGAGUGAAAUAGAUCCUGAAACCGCAUGCAUACAAGCAGUGGGAGCACCUUCGUGGUGUGACUGCGUACCUUUUGUAUAAUGGGUCAGCGACUUAUAUUCAGUAGCGAGGUUAACCGUAUAGGGGAGCCGUAGAGAAAUCGAGUCUUAAUAGGGCGUUUAGUUGCUGGGUAUAGACCCGAAACCAGGCGAUCUAUCCAUGAGCAGGUUGAAGGUUGGGUAACACUAACUGGAGGACCGAACCCACUGUCGUUGAAAAGCCAGGGGAUGACUUGUGGAUAGGGGUGAAAGGCUAAUCAAGCCUGGUGAUAGCUGGUUCUCCCCGAAAGCUAUUUAGGUAGCGCCUCGGACGAAUACCAUAGGGGGUAGAGCACUGUUUCGGCUAGGGGGUCAUCCCGACUUACCAAACCGAUGCAAACUCCGAAUACCUAUGAGUACUAUCCGGGAGACAGACUGCGGGUGCUAACGUCCGUAGUCAAGAGGAAAACAAUCCAGACCGCCAGCUAAGGCCCCAAAAUCAUAGUUAAGUGGGAAACGAUGUGGGAAGGCAUAGACAGCUAGGAGGUUGGCUUAGAAGCAGCCACCCUUUAAAGAAAGCGUAAUAGCUCACUAGUCGAGUCGGCCUGCGCGGAAGAUGUAACGGGGCUAAAACUAUGUGCCGAAGCUGCGGAUGUAUACUUUGUAUACGUGGUAGGGGAGCGUUCUGUAAGCCGAUGAAGGUGUGUUGAGAAGCAUGCUGGAGGUAUCAGAAGUGCGAAUGCUGACGUGAGUAACGACAAAACGGGUGAAAAACCCGUUCGCCGAAAGACCAAGGGUUCCAGUCCAACGUUAAUCGGGGCUGGGUGAGUCGACCCCUAAGGCGAGGCCGAAAGGCGUAGUCGAUGGGAAAAUGGUUAAUAUUCCAUUACUUCUGUGUAAUGCGAUGAGAGGACGGAGAAGGCUAAAUCAGCCUGGCGUUGGUUGUCCAGGUGAAAGGAUGUAGGCAUGUAUCUUAGGCAAAUCCGGGGUACUCUAUGCUGAGAUCUGAUAGCAAGCUGUACUUGUACAGCGAAGUGGUUGAUGCCAUGCUUCCAGGAAAAGUCUCUAAGCUUCAGUUACACAGGAAUCGUACCCGAAACCGACACAGGUGGUCAGGUCGAGUAGACCAAGGCGCUUGAGAGAACUCUGCUGAAGGAACUAGGCAAAAUGGUACCGUAACUUCGGGAGAAGGUACGCUGUUGUUGGUGAUGGAACUCGCUUCCUGAGCUGACGACAGCCGCAGAAACCAGGCCGCUGCAACUGUUUAUUAAAAACAUAGCACUCUGCAAACACGAAAGUGGACGUAUAGGGUGUGAUGCCUGCCCGGUGCUGGAAGGUUAAUUGAUGGGGUUAGCGUAAGCGAAGCUCUUGAUCGAAGCCCCAGUAAACGGCGGCCGUAACUAUAACGGUCCUAAGGUAGCGAAAUUCCUUGUCGGGUAAGUUCCGACCUGCACGAAUGGCAUAAUGAUGGCGGCGCUGUCUCCAGCAGAGGCUCAGUGAAAUCGAAAUCGCUGUGAAGAUGCAGUGUACCCGCGGCUAGACGGAAAGACCCCGUGAACCUUUACUGCAGCUUGACACUGAACUUUGACCUUACUUGUGUAGGAUAGGUGGGAGGCUUUGAAGCUGGAACGCUAGUUCCAGUGGAGCCGUCCUUGAAAUACCACCCUGGUAAUGUUGAGGUUCUAACUCUGUCCCGUGAUCCGGGACGAGGACCGUGUCUGGUGGGUAGUUUGACUGGGGCGGUCUCCUCCUAAAGAGUAACGGAGGAGUACGAAGGUGCGCUCAGCGUGGUCGGAAAUCACGCGUAGAGUAUAAAGGCAAAAGCGCGCUUAACUGCGAGACCCACAAGUCGAGCAGGUACGAAAGUAGGUCUUAGUGAUCCGGUGGUUCUGUAUGGAAGGCCAUCGCUCAACGGAUAAAAGGUACUCUGGGGAUAACAGGCUGAUACCGCCCAAGAGUUCAUAUCGACGGCGGUGUUUGGCACCUCGAUGUCGGCUCAUCUCAUCCUGGGGCUGAAGCAGGUCCCAAGGGUAUGGCUGUUCGCCAUUUAAAGAGGUACGCGAGCUGGGUUUAGAAACGUCGUGAGACAGUUCGGUCCCUAUCUACCGUGGGCGCUGGAAAUUUGAGAGGAUCUGCUCCUAGUACGAGAGGACCAGAGUGGACGAACCUCUGGUGUACCGGUUGUGACGCCAGUCGCAUCGCCGGGUAGCUAUGUUCGGAAGGGAUAACCGCUGAAAGCAUCUAAGCGGGAAGCCUACCUCAAGAUAAGAUUUCCCUAGGACUUUAUGUCCUCUAAAGAGCCGUUCGAGACUAGGACGUUGAUAGGUUGGAUGUGGAAGCAUAGUGAUAUGUGAAGCUGACCAAUACUAAUUGCUCGUGAGGCUUGACU
This 2878-nucleotide ribosomal RNA is filed under the name Acinetobacter baumannii. RNAcentral's name for it is "bacterial LSU rRNA". It matches the Rfam family "Bacterial large subunit ribosomal RNA". Lineage: Bacteria; Pseudomonadati; Pseudomonadota; Gammaproteobacteria; Moraxellales; Moraxellaceae. The record is from RNAcentral.